Molecule: long non-coding RNA, 6584 nt
Organism: Ictidomys tridecemlineatus (thirteen-lined ground squirrel)
Lineage: Eukaryota; Metazoa; Chordata; Mammalia; Rodentia; Sciuridae
Source: RefSeq, a predicted model, not a curated record
GGGAGGUCUACUUUAACAUUUAUUAAGUCACGUAUUAUUUAGAAAUAGCUUGGGUUAUAUUUGCUAUUAUAAAAGGAUGCAUAAGAACCCAGGCCAUAGCCCAAAUGCUAAAAAAACCUGCCGGUAGACAAAUCAAUCCUAUAUCAGCCAAAGGAUUAAAAAACGAGUUAACAGCUCACUCCCACUUCCAUAAGCUUCUUCAGAAAUGCCCUUUCUCUUAGAUUUCUUAGAAAUGGUCUGGAUUCAGAUAAAUACCCUGAAAUAUAUUAAGACUAAAUAGAAAAAGGAAAUUAAUCAUUUAUAUAUUUUCUCUUCUUUCCUGUGAUUCUAUGGUUGCACCUGCAGAUGGCUAUUAGUUUUCUGAACCAAAUGCAAUACUUGGAAAGGCAACACUUUUUUCUCUUUUUGACUCCAGGUAAUGAGCUCUGUUUGAAAAUCAAUCAUGCAGAAAUAAAUGCCAGUUUUCUGAAAUUUGGGUUGAAAUUGUUUUCCUUUAAUAGUCUACUCUAAGUAAAAUGAAUAAACCACAGGGGAAGACAAUUUUAUACAAAAAUCGUUACAGAAAUGAGUACAAAGUUUAAGAUGAUUGGCUGCAUCUAUUAAAGGCACAUAAUAAACAUUUCUCAGUCUUUCUCAACAAUCAUCAGCAUCAUCUUCAUCCACCUCUCCCAUGGACUGAAUGACAUACUGUAAAGAUUACAUCUGAUAAGAGAAAGUUGAAGAGAUAUUAAUGUUUUGGGUAAGAAACUUGAUUUUCAUAAUAGAAUCUUUACCUUAAUUGUUUAGCUAAGUAAGGAAACAUGAACAAUCAAUUUUUAAAAUUCAAACUCCAUAAUUGUAUGAUAGCAUUGCAUACUCAAAUGUUGCAUUUUAAAAACAAAAGCAUAUAAAUGAAUUCUAAUUAAUAAGUGACUUUUCACUAUAUCCCUAUUAGGAAAAUUCAAUCCUGCCAAGCACUUGGGCAAAUGUGCUUUUUUUGGAGCAAUGUGUGAUACUGAUUUCUCUAGUCAGUCUCUCUCUUUUGGCUGAGUCAGGCCUUAUUUAGCAAAAAUCCCCAUUAGUUUUGGACACCAUUGCAGUUAGAUGUUGGGAUCCAUCCAUGGAUUAAAUUUUUCCAGGGAAAUGACAAAUAUGCUCUUCCUGAGAAGCUACCUAUAACAGUAGAGUCGAAUAUUCGUCAUGAUCUAGAUCUGCAUUCAGGUUGUGAAUGGGCAUGUGACACACAGGGUAAUUGUUUCACUAGCAGCACAGAUCUUUCCUUUGCACUUAUAUAAGAUAUGAUCCCCAAAAAUUAAACACGUUUUCAGACUUCUAAUAACUGUAUUUAACAGUUCAAGACCACAAUAAUAAGAAAUGAGAUGUUCCUGACAUUUGUAUCUAUCAGGUAUUAAGAACCACAUAUUAAUCUUCUGAGUACUAAUUGAUGAUAACACAUCAUCAUCAGAUUAGCUAGAAAUGUAGUCAAGAUGAAUUUGCAAUCUGCUGCUUUUGUGACAGCCACCGAUUAUGCUACUUUAAGGCAUUAAUUCUUAUCUACUGGAAAAUAGUUUUCAUUUUAAAAAUCAUGCUGUUUCACUUAUCACGUGGGUAUUACUCAUUUUCAUAUUACAUUCAAUGAUUGUAUUUGUUGAAUAAGUAUUUUGUGCUUUGGCUAUAUGCUGGGUGACACAGGGACAGGAAAGUCCUAGAAGGAGCAAUUUCAGCCCUUAGGAGUUCACAACUUCUGGUUCAGAUAGCAAUACACAUAUGAAACAUUCAAAUGGUAGAAGAUUUACUAUGCGUGACACAGUAGCAUGAGUAGGAAUACUAAGCAUGCUGAGAACACACCAAAACCACAAUUGCCUCCUCUUUCAGCUAAUGUGCCAAACACCCAUUAUGUCCGGAUUGGCUUGUGUAUUUUAGUCAUGUAUAUAAAUUACAAGAUGCUUCUAAGAAUGGCCUAUUCUCAUUCAGUGUCUCAGUCUACUGUCUAAGAAAAAUAGGAUUUAUUCUAUAAGCGUUAUUUGCUUCACAAAAUGGCAAUAAUGCCAUUUUUAUCUGGCAUACCUGGGAAUGCAGCAUUUUACAUAAUAGUUUUCCUAAAUGAUUGAAAUUUGUUUGGGUGGAAACUAUUCUCUCUGCGUUAUUGUAUCCAGCUCUCUGAUUGCUGUUAGAGUGCUCUGUACCUAUUUAUAGUGUAGCAUAAUUUGUUCUUUUUUAAAAAAUGUUUCUACUUACCUAUUGCAGAUUUUGCAAAAUCUAAUGCAAUGUCUUUUUUAUUUAUAUGUCCUUGUUGCCUUGCACUUGGCCAGGGACAUCAGUCAGUCUCCAUAAAUGUCAACUGACUAAUGAAAUGAACAAAUAUUUUUGAGUAUAAUUUGAUUUGAAUAAUGACUCAGUAUGAAUAUAAUAAACAUAGCAAUUUCAUUUUUACCUGCAAUAUGGUGGACCUAUCAGUGUACAGAAGAGCCAUUUCCUCUCCGUUAAAUGACUCUAGACCAAACUUAAUUAAGCCUUUCUGUGUGUUCUUCCUUCUCCGUUAGUAUGAGUCUUCACAUUUCUCCUUCUGACAGUGUGCCUUGAAUCUGUCAGCCUGUCACCAUGCUCUGUCUAAUGUGUUGAUUCUAAUCUGCACUGGGCUGACAAAUUAUGUAACUACGGUUGUUAAAAAUAUAUGUAAAAUAAAACCAAAUACGAUCUAACACAUCUAAAGAUGUAAUUUUGAAAUAGUAUGAACAGAUGCUGGAUUUGAAGUCAUCUUCUUUUGGUCAGUUUUCUUUUUGGAUAAAAGAGCUUCAGGAUAUGAAUUUAUGGCAUCUAUUUUAGAUUUGCAUAGUACUUACUUCCCUUAGUGCUUGUAUUUGCUGUGUUAUGAAUAGUUGAAAAAGAGCUUUGGGUAAGGAAGUACCUGUGUGUUUGCAACUGUUUAUAUACACAUAUAUACAUAUAUAUAUAUAUAUACAUAUAUAUAUGUGUGUAUGUGUGUGUGUGUGUACAAAACUCAUAUUAUUCAUCCAGUGAUAUUUCAGUGCUUCCUGUGUCCAUUUAUUAUCAUGAUCUUUAUUUUCCAUGAAAUCUGGUAAAAAUCAAAAGCAGUCAGUGGGACUGCUUUUUAAAGGAACUCACACUUCUAGAGCAGGCAGGUAACUAUUUAGUAAAUUACCUCUUCUGUCAUGCUCUGGAAGACUUCAUUAAUCUCAUGUGGGUGAGACAAUUAUACUCUGAAAAUAUCAUUUUCAUCGCAGGGCCAGCCCUUACAUUAGUGUUCUUAACACAAUGAUUGUUUCAUCUUUGUUAUCUGUGGGGGCUUAGUUCUCUCAAAGGUCAUGAGCCCUUACAGACUCAGUUCAUCAUCUCUUGCCAGGGAUGACGGCUCUUUAGGCAAGGUAGUCCUGACAUAAGCAUAGGUCAUUCAUUGGUCAGAAAAGGAGCCAAAUGCCAAUCAUUAUGCACACUCAUCACCACCACAGGGGGAAGAAGAGCCUUAAUACUGUGGUUCAGCAGUCUUAUCAUUUAAUAAUGGUGAUGGAAUAUUAAUACGAAGGCCAAUAUUAAGCCAGCACAUACUGAAGGCUUUCCCGGAAGGAAGCAGGCAUUGUUCUUGUUCUUUGCAGGACAUGCUAAAGCUAUGGUAAUACAUUUCAUGAGACUUUUACAAAAGAAAAUAAUGCAAAAGAAGGGGAAAGGAGCAGACCCAAGGAAAUAGUCUUUGGAAGUCAGUGUUUCUAAAGGAGACAGGAGCACUUUCAGUAGCCACUGGGAAGUAAGCCUGCCUCUGGCAUCCAUAGUGCCCUCCCUAGCCCAGUGGGAGAUACCCCCAGUAAGAUGUGCUACAAUUGGUAACUGAGUCUAGUGUCUCAAGCACCUAGAAGAAUGUCUCCCUGCUUUACUAAUACCUCCUCAGAAGACCACAAGAGUCAUGCAACUUGGCUUUAUCUAAAACUAACAACAAAGAAAAAGACUUCAGACAGGAAAGUCUGGGCGCUUUUGCAGAUAUUUAAGAAAUAUGCCACAAUCUAUGAAGAAACAUAUUUUGAGUGAUAUCAACAAUGCUGAAACGAUACUUUGGGAAAAAAGAGUAUGUAACCUAAAUGCCUGGGUUUGGGGAUGUGGGCCUUGACAGUGUAUAGCUUUUCAAUUUUAUUUUUAAUGUAUUUUAAGUCUUUGUUUAUUGUCAAAACAAUGCAUGCUUGUUGUAAAAAAAUGUAAAAGAUUUUAAAAGCAUUAUAAAAUGUAGAAGGAUGUAGGGGAAUAUAGAAAAUAAAAUGAAUCCACACCCCAUUUAAAUAAAUGCUUUGUAAUACAUAUUCCCCUCUUCCCUAUAUUUUGAUUUUUAAGUCAUUUUUAUUUUACAAUUUUAAAGUCAACUGUAUCAUACUUUUUGAUGUCAUAUUUUUUAUAUUCAUCUAAGUAUUUGAUGCAGUUAAAAUAAUUUGAAAGCAUAUAUAUGAAUGAUCACCAUAUUUUAUGUCUGUAAUAUAUGUGAAUGAUAAUCCUUGUAGCUUUAAAUUUAUUUUUAUGUAGAAUAAUGAUUUUCUUCAUCUUUACUAAUAUCUUAGAAUUCUAGGUGUAGAAUUACUAGGUCAAAGUUUAUGAACUCUUAAUUUUUUUUUCUUGCUGCAGUUCUUUCACAUCAAAUACCGAAAUAUCGAAUUUCAAGGAUGUUCUUAAUUAUAUAACUUUGAUGUUGGAAGUGGCAUUUCUCUAUGGGGAGGGGUGGAGAUUUGAGCGGCCAUGGAAUGUGUCUGCAACCUCCAUCUGCCCCUCACUAACUGUGAAAGAUUGUUCUAGGGAUUAGAAAUCAUAUAUGUAAAAUUCCUGAGACACAGUGAUCACCCAAAUAGUGGCAGUUAUUUUAUACUCUAGCUGCCCCUGCUGUUGCUACUAAGGAUGAUAAAAAUGGCAAGGUUAACAAGUUAGUUGGUGGAAUAAGCCAUUUCUACAAUAAACCUUUAAGUCACAGGACUCUAUUGCAGUGCCUGACUCAUCAUAAAUGAAGAGGAACCUGAGGAGUUGAGGAACAGAAUCCAGGUGUACCUCUAAGUGCAGGCUGGUGUCAAACAGAGAAAAGCAUUUUUUUCCCCCCUAGUUGGUCAGGAUUCGAAUAAACUUGGGGAUUUCUUAAAGAGAUAUUAGGAUGGACCAUUAAAUCUGGGUCCAAUUUUAGACUCAGGACAAGCAUGAUGAGUUGACACGUCUUUCUUUAUGCAGAGAGGAGGAAUCUACAGCUAACUUGGGAGAAGAGUAGGAAAUGGAAGCCGGCCAGUUGGAGCAGCCCUCAGUCUGGUCCAUUAUUAUUGUCAAGUCCUUCAAGAAGGGGAUUAGGACUGCCACAGAGCUGCUGAUCCAAGCCCAGUCCUCUCAUUUAUUUCACUACCAUAACUUAGCACUUGAUUCAUCCAUGAAAAUGCAGCUCAAGACCUGCGUGGUUACAGCUCCACAUGCUUCAUUCAGUAACAUCACCUAUCAAAGCCACAUGCCAGAAAAGCACCCGAAAUGCUUGAUACCACAAAAGCCAGUCAUAACCCACAGGUUGAGACCGUCCCACCAGAAAAAAAAAAAAAAAUUUAAAAAAAAAAAUUUUGGAAUUAUUUCUCCAUAAUAGAAUGCGAUUCUCCGUGAGUUGACCUUCAGGCCAUGCUGUGAAACCAAAAAAGAAAGAAAGAAAGAAAGAAAGAAACCAAACACUCUAGACAUGGAUGACUGGAUACUCUGUGCUUUCUGCUGUCUCCUAAACCCCUUCCAAGUCUCCAUCAGAAGGUAGAAUGACUUGCAGCCCAUUUCACCACGCAACCUGAUAACGGUAACCGGAGAUCUGUCCUACAAAAGGUUUCGUCCCUCACUCCAUGGAAGACCCCCUCAGAACAAGAAACAUUUUUCUCACAGGAGAGUCUCAGAGAGUCUAUGAAUUCCUGUUGGAUGAAAGUUUUCUAAUUUCCUUUCUGCAAAUACCAGGGCAUUUGUUUCUCUUAUGUAAUUUCCAGGGAAUCGGUUGCAUGACCCAAUUGCUAUUCUGUUGGUGGACCAAGGUGCCUUACCGUCAGUCGCCCUUGGUGAGAACGUACUCAAGGGCUGACACAUGACUGCAGCGGAACUGGACAAUUCCUGGAAGGAAAAGGGUUAAGAGCCAGUAAAAACAGCAUAAAUUUACACAUGACCUAGUGUGAUUACACUUUUAUUCUCUUCCGUGCAAGGAACAACAACAAUGACAACCUCCAGAACUCAUGCUUCUGGUCCAGAAACCUCCCAAGUGGACAUGGUUUCACCCAGUUCAGAUGAUCUCAGCAACAUUCUGGUUAAAAAGAGUCUGGAGGCAGAGACAACCCCUCACCAUUGAGCUCUUUCUCAAAAGAAUCCAAAGGUUCCUACCAUUAUCGAAAUAUCAUCUCACCUGUUGGGCUCAAGGGAGCGGGUUUGUGAGACCCGGUUCGUGAUGGUUUGAAUUUGGCAGAUAAGUUUUAGAAUUGUUCAAGUUUGCCCACAUCUUCACUGGCCAGGAAGGAGAGGAUGGCUUGAGAAACCAGGGAUCUGGGCUCCAGAAAGAAUGAUGGGCAGAUAAAAGAUACUGCAGCAGCUUCAGUUAAAAAAAAAAAAAAAAAAAAAAA